CCUAAACCGACACAGGUGGACUGGUAGAGAAUACCAAGGCGCUUGAGAGAACCACAUUUAAGGAACUCGGCAAAAUACCUCCGUAAGUUCGCGAGAAGGAGGCCCCGUUUGUACGCAAGUAUGGGCGGGGGGCACAAACCAGGGGGUGGCGACUGUUUACUAAAAACACAGGGCUCUGCGAAGCCGUAAGGCGACGUAUAGGGUCUGACGCCUGCCCGGUGCCGGAAGGUUAAAAGGAGAUGUGCAAGCAUUGAAUUGAAGCCCCGGUAAACGGCGGCCGUAACUAUAACGGUCCUAAGGUAGCGAAAUUCCUUGUCGGGUAAGUUCCGACCUGCACGAAUGGCGUAACGACUUCCCCGCUGUCUCAAAUGUGGACUCAGCGAAAUUGAAUUGUCUGUGAAGAUGCAGACUUCCCGCGGUUAGACGGAAAGACCCCAUGCACCUUUACUAUAGCUUCGCACUGGCAUCAGGAUUGUGAUGUGCAGGAUAGGUGGUAGGCAUUGAAACCGGGACGCCAGUUCCGGUGGAGCCAUCCUUGAGAUACCACCCUUCGCACUCUUGAUGUCUAACCGCGGCCCGUUAUCCGGGUCCGGGACCCUGCGUGGUGGGUAGUUUGACUGGGGCGGUCGCCUCCCAAAGAGUAACGGAGGCGCGCGAAGGUUGGCUCAGAGCGGUCGGAAAUCGCUCGUUGAGUGCAAUGGCAGAAGCCAGCCUGACUGCAAGACUGACAAGUCGAGCAGAGACGAAAGUCGGCCAUAGUGAUCCGGUGGUCCCGAGUGGAAGGGCCAUCGCUCAACGGAUAAAAGGUACGCUGGGGAUAACAGGCUGAUGAUGCCCAAGAGUCCAUAUCGACGGCAUCGUUUGGCACCUCGAUGUCGGCUCAUCUCAUCCUGGGGCUGGAGCAGGUCCCAAGGGUAUGGCUGUUCGCCAUUUAAAGAGGUACGUGAGCUGGGUUUAGAACGUCGUGAGACAGUUCGGUCCCUAUCUGCCGUGGGUGUAGGAUACUUGAGAGGAGUUGCCCCUAGUACGAGAGGACCGGGGUGAACGUUCCACUGGUGGACCAGUUGUCGUGCCAACGGCAGUGCUGGGUAGCUAUGAACGGACAGGAUAAACGCUGAAGGCAUCUAAGCGUGAAGCCCCCCUCAAAACAAGGUAUCCCUUGAGAGCCGUGGAAGACCACCACGUCGAUAGGCCGGAGAUGUAAGCGCAGCAAUGCGUUCAGUUGACCGGUACUAAUGGCUCGAUUGGCUUGAUUUG
RNAcentral lists this ribosomal RNA (1257 nucleotides) under activated sludge metagenome. Its description in RNAcentral is "bacterial LSU rRNA". It matches the Rfam family "Bacterial large subunit ribosomal RNA", at positions 1648 to 2925 of the family's 2925-position model. The record is from RNAcentral.